AACUCAAAGGAAUUGACGGGGGCCCGCACAAGCGGAGGAACAUGUGGUUUAAUUCGAUGAUACGCGAGGAACCUUACCCGGGCUUGAAAUGUACCUGACCGUCCUUGAAAAGGGACUUCUAGCAAUAGCAGGUAUGUAGGUGCUGCAUGGUUGUCGUCAGCUCGUGCCGUGAGGUGUCGGCUUAAGUGCCAUAACGAGCGCAACCCACAUUAUUAGUUACUAACAGGUUAAGCUGAGGACUCUAAUAAGACUGCCGUCGUAAGAUGCGAGGAAGGUGUGGAUGACGUCAAAUCAGCACGGCCCUUACGUCCGGGGCGACACACGUGUUACAAUGGGAGGUACAAAGGGCUGCUACCUGGUGACAGGAUGCUAAUCCCCAAAGCCUCUCCCAGUUCGGAUCGGAGUCNNUAACUCGACUCCGUGAAGCUGGAUUCGCUAGUAAUCGCGCAUCAGCCAUGGCGCGGUGAAUACGUUCCCGGGCCUUGUACACACCGCCCG
This 498-nucleotide ribosomal RNA is filed under the name uncultured Dysgonomonas sp. RNAcentral's name for it is "bacterial SSU rRNA". It matches the Rfam family "Bacterial small subunit ribosomal RNA", at positions 898 to 1396 of the family's 1533-position model. Lineage: Bacteria; Pseudomonadati; Bacteroidota; Bacteroidia; Bacteroidales; Dysgonomonadaceae. The record is from RNAcentral.